Molecule: ribosomal RNA, 504 nt
Filed under: uncultured bacterium
Lineage: Bacteria
Description: partial 16S ribosomal RNA
Rfam family: Bacterial small subunit ribosomal RNA
Source: RNAcentral
GAUGAACGCUGGCGGCAGGCCUAACACAUGCAAGUCGAACGGUAGCACAGAGAGCUUGCUCUCGGGUGACGAGUGGCGGACGGGUGAGUAAUGUCUGGGAAACUGCCCGAUGGAGGGGGAUAACUACUGGAAACGGUAGCUAAUACCGCAUAACGUCGCAAGACCAAAGUGGGGGACCUUCGGGCCUCACACCAUCGGAUGUGCCCAGAUGGGAUUAGCUAGUAGGUGGGGUAAUGGCUCACCUAGGCGACGAUCCCUAGCUGGUCUGAGAGGAUGACCAGCCACACUGGAACUGAGACACGGUCCAGACUCCUACGGGAGGCAGCAGUGGGGAAUAUUGCACAAUGGGCGCAAGCCUGAUGCAGCCAUGCCGCGUGUAUGAAGAAGGCCUUCGGGUUGUAAAGUACUUUCAGCGGGGAGGAAGGCGGUGGAGUUAAUAACUUCACCGAUUGACGUUACCCGCAGAGGAAGCACCGGCUAACUCCGUGCCAGCCGCCGCAGUAA